RNAcentral lists this ribosomal RNA (170 nucleotides) under uncultured bacterium. Its description in RNAcentral is "partial 16S ribosomal RNA". It matches the Rfam family "Bacterial small subunit ribosomal RNA", at positions 340 to 525 of the family's 1533-position model. The record is from RNAcentral.
UACGGGAGGCAGCAGUAGGGAAUUUUCCGCAAUGGGCGAAAGCCUGACGGAGCAACGCCGCGUGAGUGAUGACGGCCUUCGGGUUGUAAAACUCUGUUCUGAAGGAAGAAGUCCUGACGGUACUUCAGGAGAAAGCCCCGGCUAACUACGUGCCAGCAGCCGCGGUAAUA